Long non-coding RNA from Zophobas morio, 2051 nucleotides. RefSeq lists it as uncharacterized. The record is from RefSeq and is a predicted model, not a curated record. The transcript is spliced from 3 exons. Lineage: Eukaryota; Metazoa; Arthropoda; Insecta; Coleoptera; Tenebrionidae.
ACUACGGCCUGCUCAAUCGACCUGAAUUUCAUUGUUUUUUUGAUUCUGAGAAAACGCAAAAUGUCGCCACUUUGGCGCCACUUACCCGUUAACCGUCAAUUAAUUUUAGACCAUCAACUGUCAAUUUAUAGGUUAACAAGAAUUAGGAAACACUGGAAAUUUUGAUUUAAAUUUAUAAUAGAUGAAACCAUUAAGCUACAUGUGUACUUCAGAGGGCGUUUGCGAGAAAUAAUUCCAAAAUCAGCCCGUAAAGCCAUGGUCGGGCCUGCCCUCAACGUGGGUAAGCGUAUCGUUUUUACCUGGUUUUUCCGAGUUUGUGAGCGACUCCCACAAUACGAACGCAUUUCGAAGUGCGACAAUGAUCUCCGAUAAACCUGAAAUUUGAAAUGACAACUUAGAUUAAAGAUGGUAUAAAAUCAAAAUCAGAACUCUCGUGAGAGUUGCGCUCCAAUGGACACGACCCUUACUUCUAGAGAGACAGAAUGUAGUGAUUAGAAUCAAGACGUUAACAUUUACUUUUCCUAAGUCGGAAAAUUAUUUAAAAAGAAAAUGGUUGGCCGCACUAAAGAGAAUGAUUUUUGAAACUUCUGCUAACCAAAGCCGAAGCAUACAUUGAAACAAGCUACUUUCAUGAGAGGUCUGGACAGCUUCUUUAGUUCAUCCACAAUCGAAGCAGGGUGAAAAUAGCUGUUACAUACAGAAUCAGUUUAUAGAAGCGAAACUACUAAAUUUGGUAAAACUUUACAAAAGGCACUUCUCGAUUUCGCACAAACUGUUUGCACACAACUCUUCUAGAGCACCCCCUGGUCACCACAGCUGAUCACGUUCCUCACCUUCAAAUGUUGUGCAAAUGCUUCCUUUUGCCACAAAGAAUGUGCCCUUUUGUAUAGGUGUAAAUUUUAUUACCACGUAAGCUGUAUUGAUAAUAAUACAUCAUGGUUCAAAAAAUUUCAAACUAUCAGCACUAAGGUUAAUAGUUCGCAAAUCUAAUCAAUUAGUCACAUAUUUAAUGAAUAAAGUUUCUAUAAACUGAUCUACAAUCUUCUUUGCUGCAAUACAUAUUUUGUCUGCAGUAAUAACAAAAUAAUGUUUACAUUUACGACAUCCAACAUCUCGGUACACACGAAAUCUUGGAGCUUGUAAAUAGAGGUGGCAUAUAUUAUUUACACUAAUUUAUAACUUGAUAUUUAUAAGAUUGUAAUUUUAGAAUGUUUCUGGUAUUUAACCAAACUUACAACGCUUAAUAAUAUAAAAUAUUAUUAUGCAGAUCCUGUUCCCCGUCCAUCAAUAUUCUGAAAUAUUUCCUUUCAACCGGGCCUAUCUCUCCCAUCCUCUUUAGAAAAUUCUGAAAAAAGAUGUCACUUGAAAUUCUGGUGGUUGCAAUUGCUGCCAGAUUAGAACGUGACACUGAAUUUCAAAAGAAGUAGAAAUUAGAGAUUUGAAAACAUUUUGGAAUUGUAUGCGAAAUUACAAGAACUUGACGAAGGAAGUUGGUAAGGCAUAGAAAAACAACAAUCACUUUAUAGGGCCAAUUCUGAAUCAAACAUGUUAAAAUUUAAAGGUUACUAUGCAAAUUUGCAAUUUAACGCCAUUUAAAUUUAACAAGUUUGAUUCAGAAUUGCCUAUUAUAUACCUAUCAUUUAUUUUAAAGAGUCAGACUUUCCAAGCUUAAAAUGUACAGUUAAUAUUUCAAAUGAAAUCGAAGUUUCCCACAACUGUAGACGAUUUUAAUCAAGUAGGAGAAAUUAUACAAGAAACAAAAAAUAAUAAAGCAUUCAAUUAGUAAAUGACAUUCUCCUAUAUCUUUGAUUAAACGUUGUCAGAAAAGGAAUCCAGAAUCAAAUUUUUAAGUGAACAUAUUCAUUUUUACUUCCCGAGCGUAAGCAAAGGAAGUAUUGUAAUCGAGUCCGUCGGCCGACUCUCUACUUUUACGUUUUUUCGAUCUUUCAUGACCCCUAGAAGACGAAGAAAUAGGUCUCCCAUUUCCGUCUGUCUGUCCGUCCGUCUGUCCGUCCGUCUGUCCGUCUGCCGUCCCGGAUUUUUAUUAGACA